Molecule: long non-coding RNA, 1111 nt
Organism: Daphnia carinata
Lineage: Eukaryota; Metazoa; Arthropoda; Branchiopoda; Diplostraca; Daphniidae
Exons: 5
Source: RefSeq, a predicted model, not a curated record
UGACUUCCGAUCGUUGUGCAACCUUUUACGCAAGUUUCAUCAGCGAAUUAAUUUUACUUACUGAAAAAGGGACUCUGCUAAUCCGCAAAAGCACAAAGUUUUCUAAAUGAGCACAAAGAAAUUUUAAUGCAGUUUACUUUUUCUGACGCUACGACCAAGGACGAUAUGCCGGCACCGAGCGUCAAAAAAUUAAUGGCUUCCUUUCUGUUGUGUUUACCGGCGACUUCCUUGUAGAGCAAUUUGCAUCACACAGUGAAUUUGUUGUAAAGCAAGCUUGCGCUACCAACGGAUACGGAGAUAUGAUUUACUCGUGCGUUAUCGUCAUCGUGCGUCAUCGUCACGCAAGCUUUCACCACCUCAAGGCAUUCCGCGUGACAAGAACUUCUGCAGCAAUCACCUCAAUUACGCACACACUUUUUAUCCAAAUUUUGCGGGAGACAAGUCCGAACAUGAUUUCAUUGCUAGCUGGGCAUUCCUCCAGACGAUCAUAGAUUCCCUGUGUCACCCAAGGAUUGAAGAAUUUAUCUGCCUAGCAGCGCAACCUGAAUAUCGUCCAUAUGGCAAAAGCGUAGGCCCCUGUCGUAAGCUUUGUCACGAAAUUGCAAACGCCUGCAAGUCUUAUUUUUGGGAGCCAUUGGAAAAACAGAAAAUCAUGCUCAACUACGACGGGCAGUAUUUUGAUUCGACCGAUCAGCGUCUAUGUCACAGUUAGGUGCCCAUCAUAUAAAACUAUACGUCAAUCUUGAAAUCUAGCCCUUAGAUCAAUUCUUGAACAUCACCGAGAAGAAGAAUUUUCAAUUUCAAUGACGCACGAGGAGAAGACAAGAAUCUAGCAUACGCAUAACAAAAAAUUUGAGGGAAAAGAAUACUUGGUAAUAUUCCCGCCAUAACUGAUUGGAACUAUUACUACAUUUUUGAAAUACUUCAUCUCUACUUACUAACCUUUUUUUCCGUGUUUCUAUUCGUGUUCCCCACGUUUCUCUUAUGAUUCUUUUUCAUUUCCUUAAAAGCUUGUUUGAAUAUAUAAUAACCACAUGAAAUAUAUAGCAACAUUCUGGCAAAUUCUUCAACAUUCAGAACCAGCCAGGUGAGAAGUCAAUUGAAUCUAUGU